CUUUCUCCUCCUUUUUUUCACUCCUUUGCCUCAGCCUCUGAUGUGACACAUUCUUCCAGGGUGUCCUGGCUGUCCUAGUUCCUGUGUCACCCUUCUAUUUGCUGUUUAUUUGUGGCAGGCAGCGCCUCUGGGACACUGGUGCAGUGGGAAGAUGGAGAAUUGGUUUGUGGCUGAGCUUUGCCCUUUCAUUGCCCAGGGAUGAACCAUCUCCACAGCUCUGAACACCUCUGCCCUCCUGAUGGCAUCACACAGGUUACAGGUGACUGAUCACUCCACCAGGACUGGAGAAAUGCCUGAAUGCUGAAUUUGAUGGACCAGAAUUCCCCAAUAAGGUCUGCAAUAAUUAAGUUGAGUUUCCUCCAGGAUGCCCAUCCCAGGGCACAGACUCUCUCAGAGGUGUGAAUAUUCCCCAGUCUACAUUAGAGCACUCUCACAAACCUAACAAAACCAUGGAUUUGCUCCAUUUUCUUUUAAUCAGAGCUCAGAUCAUGGCCAAUAUCAAAGAUAUAUUUGGUGUCUUCUACUCUGCAUCUUGAGAAAAUAGUAUGUGGUCCAAAUAUUUUUGUUUUGUCAAAACCAAAAUAUUUUUCUGGAAGGAGUUUGUUUCAAUGAUAGUUCCAGCUGGGGAUAGUUGAAACAAGUAAUUUAGAUUUUGUUUUGAUACCACUCCACACUUUUGAUAAAAUAAAAGAUGUCAACUGCAUUUAUUAGGACAGUUCACACUGUAAUAAAUACAAAUGUCUACGGACAGUGUUCUGUAAUAUAUUGUGCUGCUCCAGUGUAACUGAAAUGGACCAUUUCCCUAUUAAAAUGUAAUGUUGCAACACAAUUGAAAUAAAAUAUUUUAAGCAACA
Parus major (Great Tit) is the source of this 854-nucleotide long non-coding RNA. RefSeq lists it as uncharacterized. The record is from RefSeq and is a predicted model, not a curated record. NCBI's taxonomy places the organism in Eukaryota, Metazoa, Chordata, Aves, Passeriformes, Paridae. The transcript is spliced from 2 exons.